CUGUGCCGGGAGGGGCUCGCGGCCUAUCAGCUAGUUGGUGGGGUAACGGCCCACCAAGGCGACGACGGGUAGCGGGUCUGAGAGGACGGCCCGCCACAUUGGGACUGAGACACGGCCCAG
Molecule: ribosomal RNA, 120 nt
Filed under: uncultured bacterium
Lineage: Bacteria
Description: partial 16S ribosomal RNA
Rfam family: Bacterial small subunit ribosomal RNA
Source: RNAcentral